GGUUGCGUGGCCGAGUGGUCUAAGGCGCAGGAUUAAGAUUUACUAACAUUCCUGUCCGAAGGGGCGCAGGUUCGAACCCUGCCGCAGCCA
RNAcentral lists this transfer RNA (90 nucleotides) under Pleodorina starrii. Its description in RNAcentral is "tRNA-Leu". It matches the Rfam family "tRNA". Rfam says of the family: Transfer RNA (tRNA) molecules are approximately 80 nucleotides in length. Their secondary structure includes four short double-helical elements and three loops (D, anti-codon, and T loops). Further hydrogen bonds mediate the characteristic L-shaped molecular structure. tRNAs have two regions of fundamental functional importance: the anti-codon, which is responsible for specific mRNA codon recognition, and the 3' end, to which the tRNAs corresponding amino acid is attached (by aminoacyl-tRNA synthetases). tRNAs cope with the degeneracy of the genetic code in two manners: having more than one tRNA (with a specific anti-codon) for a particular amino acid; and 'wobble' base-pairing, i.e. permitting non-standard base-pairing at the 3rd anti-codon position. Lineage: Eukaryota; Viridiplantae; Chlorophyta; Chlorophyceae; Chlamydomonadales; Volvocaceae. The record is from RNAcentral.